CCUACGGGAGGCAGCAGCUAAGAAUAUUCCGCAAUGGGCGAAAGCCUGACGGAGCGACGCCGCGUGGAGGAUGAAGGCCUUCGGGUUGUAAACUCCUUUUCCUGGGGAAGAAUAAAGUCAGGAGUAACUGUCUGACUGAUGACGGUACCCAGGGAAUAAGCCCCGGCUAAUUACGUGCCAGCAGCCGCGGUAAUACGUAUGGGGCAAGCGUUGUUCGGAUUCACUGGGCGUAAAGGGCGUGUAGGUGGUGUGGUAAGUCGGAGGUGAAAUCUCCAGGCUCAACCUGGAAAUUGCAUUCGAAACUGCCGUGCUUGAGUACCAGAGAGGGAGACGGAAUUCCUGGUGUAGGGGUGAAAUCUGUAGAUAUCAGGAAGAACACCGGUGGCGAAGGCGGUCUCCUGGCUGGAUACUGACACUGAGGCGCGAAAGCUAGGGGAGCAAACAGGAUUAGAUCCCCCUGUAGU
RNAcentral lists this ribosomal RNA (464 nucleotides) under uncultured Spirochaetota bacterium. Its description in RNAcentral is "uncultured Spirochaetes bacterium partial 16S ribosomal RNA". It matches the Rfam family "Bacterial small subunit ribosomal RNA", at positions 338 to 794 of the family's 1533-position model. The record is from RNAcentral. Lineage: Bacteria; Pseudomonadati; Spirochaetota.